Molecule: unclassified non-coding RNA, 468 nt
Filed under: Hevea brasiliensis (rubber tree)
Lineage: Eukaryota; Viridiplantae; Streptophyta; Magnoliopsida; Malpighiales; Euphorbiaceae
Source: RNAcentral
CCCAAAGUUGUGGGUUUUAGUCCCAAAAUAUUCAUUAUUUUUUUCUUCUCCUUCUUCAUGAUUUGAGAGCCAAGGGUUGAAACCCAACUCUCUUAUUCUUCUACUUCAUUUUGGCCGAGGGUUUAAAGUCCCUCAUUUGAUUUCUACUUUUUUUUUUUGUCAGGUUUGAAAACAUAGACCCAUAUAUAUUUCAAAAGCCUUACCCCCUUUUAUAUUGAUCUUUAAGUCUCAUCCCAAUUCCCAAAGAAGCACUAGCUGCUGGCAAGUUAGCUUCUCGGAGAUCGCCGUUAGAAAUGGCACGGUGUCAGUGCGUGGCGCCUCCUCUAGCCACUGUUUGCAACUAGAUCUUCUCCCAACACCAUUGCUGGACUCUUGCGAAUCUUACCAGUCAGUCACUAUCAGUAGAUCCCUUAGAGACAAGCCGCAUGGAUCUUCUGGGAAGAGCUUCUCCAGUUGAAUGCUUCAUGC